Long non-coding RNA from Haliotis rufescens (red abalone), 806 nucleotides. RefSeq lists it as uncharacterized. The transcript is spliced from 3 exons. NCBI's taxonomy places the organism in Eukaryota, Metazoa, Mollusca, Gastropoda, Lepetellida, Haliotidae. The record is from RefSeq and is a predicted model, not a curated record.
CGUGCUGUGACGUCACUGAUGGGCGUUGUUUCGCCGGUUCCGCGUUCUCGCACCAUGUGCAGUAUAUAUAUAUACUAGUUUCCACACGAGGCGCCCCCUCUCCUGUUCACACUGCAUGCGAGGCGACAGCUGACGGCGCCGAGUCUCAACACUGAUUUUGAAAAACAGCAACGAUGCCGAUGUACACAAUCCUUGCACAUCUCGCCGUGACGCUGCUGUUGACGCAACUCCUUACAGCGACCCCGACCUCACGUGAGCUGGUCGCAGACAAUGGACAGCUUGAUCCGGCUCAAAACAUUCCAAAGUUAAAGUUGUUUCAAAAUGGCGGCGCAUGGAUCCGGAAACGACGUUCAUAUCGGCAUCACAACAACUACCGCCAUUACUACUGCAGAAAAUGCAAGUGUUGUGGAUUAAAAGAAGUCAUUUCUCGGUUCUAGACUUGGAGGUUAUGGAACUAUGCACCGGCACUAUCCAUUUCUUCAGUCUGGUGCCAUCAGCACACCUGGAGCGGAUGACUAUGCUUAUAUCUACUUUUUGGAAGAAUCUAUCCCGUGGAAUGUAUAUGAACCCCACGUCAAUAAGUAUAUAAAAUCAAAUAUUUGUUUAAUUUCGGAUAGGUACACGCGCGUGAGUGUUCGUUUGUCACCACCAGGGACAGUUUGACUUGACACCGUCGUUGUUUGUCGUGCAUGAUGUCGUCACGAUUACGUCGACCAUGAUGGCGUCGUACUUGGUCAGGUCUUAGACACACAGUGGCUUUAUCGAUGUCGUUGUAGACUUGGUUUUCGAAAUAUAUUUAAAAUGUU